Molecule: long non-coding RNA, 235 nt
Filed under: Manihot esculenta (cassava)
Lineage: Eukaryota; Viridiplantae; Streptophyta; Magnoliopsida; Malpighiales; Euphorbiaceae
Description: long non-coding RNA (MESC_LNC012702)
Source: RNAcentral
UUGAAUUUGCUUGUAAUGGGCUUGGCCCAACUUAUAGCAGUUUUGUUCGUUUGCUUGAUCAAAGUGAUGCUACAAUUGACUUUGACGAAUUACAUGCUCGUUUGUUGACUGAAGAACGCAGAUUAAAGAAAGAAGAGAAAGUUGCUGUUGUGGCUCCAUCAGCCCAGUUUUCGCAAAGUCAGUACAAUGCCCGAGGGAGAGGGCGAGGCAGAGGACGUGGUCGUGGUAGGAACUC